GGACUACCGGGGUUUCUAAUCCCUUUCGCUCCCCUAGCUUUCGUCCCUCAGCGUCAGUUGUGGCCCAGUAGAGCGCCUUCGCCACUGGUGUUCUUCCCGAUAUCUACGCAUUUCACCGCUACACCGGGAAUUCCCUCUACCCCUACCACACUCAAGUCUUUCAGUUUCCAUUGCCGAUCCACAGUUAAGCUGUGGGCUUUGACAACAGACUUAAAAAACCGCCUGCGGACGCUUUACGCCCAAUAAUUCCGGAUAACGCUUGCCUCCUCCGUCUUACCGCGGCUGCUGGCACG
This 293-nucleotide unclassified non-coding RNA is filed under the name uncultured cyanobacterium. RNAcentral describes it as "contains 16S-23S intergenic spacer region". The record is from RNAcentral. Lineage: Bacteria; Bacillati; Cyanobacteriota.